RNAcentral lists this ribosomal RNA (650 nucleotides) under uncultured bacterium. Its description in RNAcentral is "bacterial SSU rRNA". It matches the Rfam family "Bacterial small subunit ribosomal RNA", at positions 33 to 657 of the family's 1533-position model. The record is from RNAcentral.
ACGCUGGCGGCGUGCCUAAUACAUGCAAGUCGAACGCACAGCGAAAGGUGCUUGCACCUUUCAAGUGAGUGGCGAACGGGUGAGUAACACGUGGACAACCUGCCUCAAGGCUGGGGAUAACAUUUGGAAACAGAUGCUAAUACCGAAUAAAACUUAGUGUCGCAUGACACAAAGUUAAAAGGCGCUUCGGCGUCACCUAGAGAUGGAUCCGCGGUGCAUUAGUUAGUUGGUGGGGUAAAGGCCUACCAAGACAAUGAUGCAUAGCCGAGUUGAGAGACUGAUCGGCCACAUUGGGACUGAGACACGGCCCAAACUCCUACGGGAGGCUGCAGUAGGGAAUCUUCCACAAUGGGCGAAAGCCUGAUGGAGCAACGCCGCGUGUGUGAUGAAGGCUUUCGGGUCGUAAAGCACUGUUGUAUGGGAAGAACAGCUAGAAUAUGUGAAACUUAGGAGAUUAGUUUGACGGUACCAUACCAGAAAGGGACGGCUAAAUUACGUGCCAGCAGCCGCGGUAAUACGUAUGUCCCGAGCGUUAUCCGGAUUUAUUGGGCGUAAAGCGAGCGCAGACGGUUUUAUUAAGUCUGAUGUGAAAGCCCGGAGCUCAACUCCGGAAUGGCAUUGGAAACUGGUUAACUUGAGUGCAGUAGAGG